UGGGGGAUAUUGCACAAUGGGCGAAAGCCUGAUGCAGCGACGCCGCGUGGGGGAUGAAGGCCUUCGGGUUGUAAACUUCUUUUGCUCUGAACAAGGCAUGCCUUUGGGGUGUGUUGAGUGUAGGGGUUGAUUAGCGCCGGCUAACUACGUGCCAGCAGCCGCGGUAAUACGUAGGGCGCGAGCGUUGUCCGGAAUUAUUGGGCGUAAAGGGCUUGUAGGUGGCUGGUUGCGUCUGUCGUGAAAGCUCAUGGCUUAACUGUGGGUUUGCGGUGGGUACGGGCUGGCGUGAGUGCAGGAGGGGAGGCUGGAAUUCCUGGUGUAGCGGUGGAAUGCGCAGAUAUCAGGAGAAAUACCGGUAGCGAAGGCGGGUCUCUGAGCAGUUACAGACGCUGAAGAGCGAAAGCGUGGGGAGCGAGCAGG
This 420-nucleotide ribosomal RNA is filed under the name Fusobacteriota bacterium. RNAcentral describes it as "Fusobacteria bacterium partial 16S ribosomal RNA". It matches the Rfam family "Bacterial small subunit ribosomal RNA", at positions 355 to 776 of the family's 1533-position model. Lineage: Bacteria; Fusobacteriati; Fusobacteriota. The record is from RNAcentral.